AGAGUUUGAUCAUGGCUCAGGAUGAACGCUAGCGGGAGGCCUAACACAUGCAAGCCGAGCGGUAGAGAUUCUUCGGAAUCUUGAGAGCGGCGUACGGGUGCGUAACACGUGUGCAACCUGCCUUUAUCUGGGAGAUAGCCUUUCGAAAGGAAGAUUAAUAUCCCAUAAUAUAUUGAUUGGCAUCGAUUGAUAUUGAAAGCUCCGGCGGAUAGAGAUGGGCACGCGCAAGAUUAGAUAGUUGGUGAGGUAACGGCUCACCAAGUCGAUGAUCUUUAGGGGGCCUGAGAGGGUGAUCCCCCACACUGGUACUGAGACACGGACCAGACUCCUACGGGAGGCAGCAGUGAGGAAUAUUGGACAAUGGGUGGAAGCCUGAUCCAGCCAUCCCGCGUGAAGGAAUAAGGGCCUAUGGCUUGUAAACUUCUUUUGUACAGGGAUAAACCUACCCUCGUGAGGGUAGCUGAAGGUACUGUACGAAUAAGCACCGGCUAACUCCGUGCCAGCAGCCGCGGUAAUACGGAGGGUGCAAGCGUUAUCCGGAUUUAUUGGGUUUAAAGGGUCCGUAGGCGGGCUUAUAAGUCAGUGGUGAAAGCCGGCAGCUUAACUGUCGAACUGCCAUUGAUACUGUAAGUCUUGAGUAUAUCUGAGGUAGCUGGAAUAAGUAGUGUAGCGGUGAAAUGCAUAGAUAUUACUUAGAACACCAAUUGCGAAGGCAGGUUACCAAGUUAUAACUGACGCUGAUGGACGAAAGCGUGGGGAGCGAACAGGAUUAGAUACCCCGGUAGUCC
Molecule: ribosomal RNA, 788 nt
Filed under: uncultured bacterium
Lineage: Bacteria
Description: bacterial SSU rRNA
Rfam family: Bacterial small subunit ribosomal RNA
Source: RNAcentral